RNAcentral lists this long non-coding RNA (592 nucleotides) under Parus major (Great Tit). Its description in RNAcentral is "lncRNA (ENSPMJG00000005952.1)". Lineage: Eukaryota; Metazoa; Chordata; Aves; Passeriformes; Paridae. The record is from RNAcentral.
GAGGGGGACCAUGAAGGAGAGAACCUCCUAAGGACCCCCUGCCCUGAGCAGCAGCCCCGUUGGGGAACUCAGCGCUAAAAGUUCUGGGACUGGAAAGUUUGGUUUUGGACUGUUGGAUCUGCCUUGUGCUGUUCCAGCCACAGCUGACUUCCAGACAUUGGCCUCUGAAGAUACAUGGCCACACCGUGACAGCUCCUCCUUUGUCUCUCUGAAGAUUAUGGGGAAGCAGCAGGACUAGAGGGCUUUGGAAUGUCCCUUCUCACACCAUUUACUGAGCUCUGGUCCUGAGGAGCCCCCAGCACCAUCACCUGUCUUCUGUGGCAGCCAGAGAAUGGAGAUGGGUAUAAAACACUCUCAGCACUAAACAAUGGAUUUAUUGCAGAAAACAGCUGGUUAAGCCAAGAUCUUGGCAUGUCCAUGAAACUGAGCUGCAGAGGAUCCACUCACUUGAGCCCCAUUUUGGUCUCUAGGUCACAUGAACAUGCAAGACAGGAUUAAGCUCAUUCCGUGAAAGCACCUGGUGAAUCCAUCAUUAUUUGGAAUAUCCUUGAGCUGUUUUUUGUAAUCAGUUGAAGUUUAGAACAGAGUGAAG